RNAcentral lists this ribosomal RNA (253 nucleotides) under uncultured bacterium. RNAcentral describes it as "partial 16S ribosomal RNA". It matches the Rfam family "Bacterial small subunit ribosomal RNA", at positions 524 to 776 of the family's 1533-position model. The record is from RNAcentral.
UACGUAGGGUGCAAGCGUUGUCCGGAAUUAUUGGGCGUAAAGAGCUCGUAGGCGGUUUGUCGCGUCUGCUGUGAAAUCCGGAGGCUCAACCUCCGGCCUGCAGUGGGUACGGGCAGACUAGAGUGCGGUAGGGGAGAUUGGAAUUCCUGGUGUAGCGGUGGAAUGCGCAGAUAUCAGGGGGAACACCGAUGGCGAAGGCAGAUCUCUGGGCCGUAACUGACGCUGAGGAGCGAAAGCAUGGGGAGCGAACAGG